AGUCCCACCAACCAACAGACAUUUUGAUUGGUCACAGCAGGAACAGCACAGGUGUCUCUAAUUUUAUUAACAACGCCUCAGACAAAAUCCAAGAGUCUCCGUGAGCCGUGACAGUGAAGUCUGCAGCAACAGGGCCCCUGGGCGUCGUGUUGUGAAUUAAACCUGUGCCUCUCCUGGUCCAGAUUGAAAAAGGGGGCUUUUGUUGGAGGACACAACGCGAUGAUGUAAAAGAAAUAACUUUCUCAACAUAUGGAGACAACAAAGUGAAGCAAAUGAAGUGCAGGGAGAGAACGUUUCCCUCUGCCCUUCAGCCCAUACAAUAGAUCUUUGUAAUAUGAGGCCUCCUGAAGGACAAACAAAAAGCUACAUAGAGGGUGAAGAGCCACAUCUGGAUGACACACCACUGCCCUGCAUCAAAGGACAGCUGCGCAGGUGGUGGGAGAGAGCAAUGGGACACGCACACACGAUGCUUAGAGAAGUAAAACAGGCCACGUUUACAGACAGACGUGUCUUCCAGGGGUUCUGAAAAUUCUGCGAUUAACGUGAGUGUGGUCAGCGUUGGAGUAUUGGUGAGAAAGUGACAUCAUCAUCUGAACAUGGAACUGUGGCGAUGAACCGGGAGGGGUGGAGGUGGUUUGUGGGUAGGUGGAUAAUCCCUCAUUAAUCCGUGGCACUUAACCCAACUCUGACUGCAUCCUUUGUGUGUCUGCAGAGGGAAAGUGGUUCUCAGUGGUCCAGGGGUCAGAGGCAGGUCUGAUUGAGGACAUUCCCCAGG
Long non-coding RNA from Austrofundulus limnaeus, 775 nucleotides. RefSeq lists it as uncharacterized. The transcript is spliced from 3 exons. The record is from RefSeq and is a predicted model, not a curated record. NCBI's taxonomy places the organism in Eukaryota, Metazoa, Chordata, Actinopteri, Cyprinodontiformes, Rivulidae.